GACGAACGCUGGCGGUGUGCUUAACACAUGCCAGUCGAACGGAAAGGCCCUGCUUUUGUGGGGUGCUCGAGUGGCGAACGGGUGAGUAACACGUGAGUAACCUGCCCUUGACUUUGGGAUAACUUCAGGAAACUGGGGCUAAUACCGGAUAGGAGCUCCUGCUGCAUGGUGGGGGUUGGAAAGUUUCGGCGGUUGGGGAUGGACUCGCGGGUUAUCAGCUUGUUGGUGGGGUAGUGGCUUACCAAGGCUUUGGCGGGUAGCCGGCCUGAGAGGGUGACCGGCCACAUUGGGACUGAGGGACGGACCAGACUCCUACGGGAGGCAGCAGUGGGGAAUAUUGCACAAUGGGCGGAAGCCUGAUGCAGCAACGCCGCGUGCGGGAUGACGGCCUUCGGGUUGUAAACCGCUUUCGCCUGUGACGAAGCGUGAGUGACGGUAAUGGGUAAAGAAGCACCGGCUAACUACGUG
Molecule: ribosomal RNA, 468 nt
Filed under: uncultured bacterium
Lineage: Bacteria
Description: partial 16S ribosomal RNA
Rfam family: Bacterial small subunit ribosomal RNA
Source: RNAcentral